UUUAUUAUAGUUGAAAACAACGGUGGUUUUUCAAACCACAGGUCUCGGUUUGAAUCCGAGUAAUAACU
This 68-nucleotide transfer RNA is filed under the name Graptemys nigrinoda. RNAcentral's name for it is "tRNA-Glu". It matches the Rfam family "tRNA". Rfam says of the family: Transfer RNA (tRNA) molecules are approximately 80 nucleotides in length. Their secondary structure includes four short double-helical elements and three loops (D, anti-codon, and T loops). Further hydrogen bonds mediate the characteristic L-shaped molecular structure. tRNAs have two regions of fundamental functional importance: the anti-codon, which is responsible for specific mRNA codon recognition, and the 3' end, to which the tRNAs corresponding amino acid is attached (by aminoacyl-tRNA synthetases). tRNAs cope with the degeneracy of the genetic code in two manners: having more than one tRNA (with a specific anti-codon) for a particular amino acid; and 'wobble' base-pairing, i.e. permitting non-standard base-pairing at the 3rd anti-codon position. Lineage: Eukaryota; Metazoa; Chordata; Testudines; Emydidae. RNAcentral also lists the same sequence under 2 other names. The record is from RNAcentral.